RNA transcript from Dunckerocampus dactyliophorus (ringed pipefish), 2397 nucleotides. RefSeq lists it as uncharacterized. Lineage: Eukaryota; Metazoa; Chordata; Actinopteri; Syngnathiformes; Syngnathidae. The record is from RefSeq and is a predicted model, not a curated record. The transcript has 10 exons.
CUUUAAUGUACCGCGAAUGCUAUAAACAGCACUCUUACUAAGGUCAUCUGCCAUGUUUUUUUCUUUACUUUUGACCGGACCAUCUAAAAUUUCUUCACAGUCUGGAAUUGGGUGUUUUCCCAGAACGUUCUUGUUCUUGUGUCAUUGUUUUUGGAGUAAUUUUUGUGCGGGGUUUUUAAAUGUUUUUGACAUUCUUCCUUUGGAAUUUGUGUCUUUGGUUAUAUAAGUUUCUAUCUACCAAGAUUUCUAUCCAUACAGAGGUGGCAUACUUCAAAUGUAUUGAAAUAAUGAGACACCUAUGAGUAAACUUUGUGCAUCAUUUGAGUGCCCUAGUUUUUGGUCAUCAAAAUAUGGUCACCCACCCUAUUCUGGAACGCAGCAUUAGCCAGCGUGAGCACAUGGACCAUAUAAUUGAAUAAUAUGAGUGCAUGAGUUCCUACCUCAGGUCGCUGAGCCCAAGAGGAUGAACGUUGCACAAAAAUCCUUCCAAAGUUAAGUGUUUCAAUGAAGUAUACGGGUGCCGCCUACCGGGUGGAGGACCUAUGACGUGUUGGUAAGUUUUAAAGUCAGACAUAAGAUGACACAUAUUUUUUAAAGUGUAUCUACGUGUAAGUGUAUGAGCGUUAAGUGUGGUGAUUUAAGAUUUUAAAAUUAUUAAGACUUGAUUUGUGUGACGCCUGACCGCGUUCAAAUGGAGUUCUGUGAUUGGCUGAACUGAUGGUACGUGAAGAUGGCGGCCCCCGUUGCUGCCGUGUUGUUGAUUUUAGCUGGUUCGGUUGGUUCUGGUGUAGGUUCUGGUCCAGACUUGGUGCUCGGUCAGGUGGAGCUGGGGCGCGUUCGGAGCCUGGCGAAAAACUCCAAAUACGGAGAGUGUUGGGCUCGUGCACUUGGGCAGCUGGACGAGCACUGCCGGGAGAUGACGUCAGAAAGACAGGGCCGCCUGGCGCUCAAAUUCACACACUGUCACCUGAGCAGUUCAGGCAGGGAUUUCCCUUCAUGUCCCAAGGGGUCAGAGGUCAGCAGGUGCACAGCCUCAAUGGACAGUGUGGCCUUCAACACUUACACUGAGUUCUUCACGCACACUUAUGCCAUUUGUCACUUCCUGCAGUCUGAGGCCUGGCACAACCGAGCUGAGAACACCAUGCACAGGUUGACAGAGAGUUCUGCAGGUGUAGUGGAACAGCUGGAGUCUACCAAGCAUAUGGCUGAGGAGCUGAUGGAAGCCCAGAGUGUUGCCUUGCAGGCACAGCAUGAGAUCCUGAACAGUGGGGAGGAGCUAAGGGUUACCCUGAGAGACUCCACCCAGGGUCUGAGGUCAAUGUUCUCUGAGCUGAGCAGCGUCUCCAGGGAGCAACAAGUGGUACUCUCGGAGCUCUUCAGCAGAGUGUCCUUCCUGCAGAACUUCUUGAUGAUGGAGACGCACAGUGUCACUUCCUGUUUGUACAACGCUGCCGCCCUGUGUGCCUCCUUCCUCCUCACCUCCACCCAGCGCUCCUCCAGAGCCAGGUUGGUGUUGUUGGGUCUGGUGUGUAUGAACUUCUACUUGGAGAGGAAGAUCUACCACUUUGUGAUGACUUCUGAUCAUCCUGAGCACACAAUGGAGCUGGUCGGUGUUUACAUUGGCAUGUUGAGGAGGUUCAUGGUGGGUGUGGCAUUUUUGGUUCUGCUCUGGGUGUGUGUUCGGUACAUGGACCCGGGUCAGCAGAGUCUUCUGGUCCUGCAGCAGCUCCGAGAUACACAUUGUCGCCUCCAGGAGACGCUACAGAGAGCAGAGAAUUUUGGGCAAUGGAAGAAGACAGAAGACUCUCAGGUGGAGGGAAGAAGAAAAGAGACGCUGGAGAGGACGAAGGGAAGUGAUGAAGACGAAGAAGGGGAUACAUUGGUGUCUCCAAGCACGGACACCUCUGACCUGUCACGCCUGUCAAUCAUUGUGUGCAUGUGUGUGUGCGUGCAGGUUGGAGCUCUGACGGUCUCCUCAGUAGUACCCUGAUCACCACGGCAACAGACACCUCAGCGCAGCCCGUCAUGACCCACGAUGCCUCAAUGACUCCUGGUCGACGUACUCGCCGCAGAUCCUCCUUCUCCUCCCCUGUGGUCUACAGCGUCCUGGUGGAGGACAAACAGCCACGUUACAGUCUCAGGAGCCGGAAAUCCCAAAACUUAUGAAUGAAUUCUUAUUUUACUGUUUUUAUCAUCUCGUUCAAUAAAGUCGACUUUUUAAGAGUGAACUGUGUGCUGACAUCAUGACUUUUUGACCCAGUGAGCUUUCAUGGAAAAGUGAUCGCAGAACUGCUGACGUACCUGUACAUCAGUAAUUUAUCAUUCCAGACUGGUAAAUUCCCAAACAAAAAUAACGGCUACAGUAGUUCCAAUCUUUAAAAAUGGAGACAAACAUCA